GAACGUUAAAGACGAUGACGUUGAUAGGCCGGGUGUGUAAGCGCAGCGAUGCGUUGAGCUAACCGGUACUAAUGAACCGUGAGGCUUAACCUUACAACGCCGAAG
This 105-nucleotide ribosomal RNA is filed under the name Klebsiella pneumoniae. Its description in RNAcentral is "partial 23S ribosomal RNA". The stretch from base 1 to 93 matches the Rfam family "Bacterial large subunit ribosomal RNA", at positions 2833 to 2925 of the family's 2925-position model. Lineage: Bacteria; Pseudomonadati; Pseudomonadota; Gammaproteobacteria; Enterobacterales; Enterobacteriaceae. RNAcentral also lists the same sequence under 2 other names. The record is from RNAcentral.